This 317-nucleotide long non-coding RNA is filed under the name Trifolium pratense (red clover). Its description in RNAcentral is "long non-coding RNA (TPRA_LNC002403)". The record is from RNAcentral. Lineage: Eukaryota; Viridiplantae; Streptophyta; Magnoliopsida; Fabales; Fabaceae.
CCCACCCCGAACCCGUCCCCGAACCCACCCGUUUAUAUAAAAUUACUAUAUUACCCCUAUUUAUUUAUAAUGUCACAAAUCAUAUAACUCAUCUUCUCGCUUCCCAAUUCCCACUUAACGUCUUUGCCACUUCCCACCUCCACCUAAUUCUCUUUCUCACUUCCAAUAAUUUCACUUCCCAACAAGCAGUAUUGAUUCUUUCUCUCUCAAUUCCAUUCCAAACUUUUCAAGUUCUACACAUCUUAUAUUGCUAUGUUUCAUUUAUGGUUUUGAUAAUUUUGGUUUGAUAUUUUGGAAUAUCAUUUCAUUUGUAUGUU